UACGUAGGGGGCGAGCGUUAUCCGGAUUCAUUGGGCGUAAAGCGCGCGCAGGCGGGUUGCUAAGCGGGACCUCUAAUCCUGGGGCUCAACCUCAGGCCGGGUCCCGAACUGGCAGCCUCGGGUUCGGUAGGGGAGAUCGGAAUUCCCGGUGUAGCGGUGGAAUGCGCAGAUAUCGGGAAGAACACCGAUGGCGAAGGCAGAUCUCUGGGCCGCAACCGACGCUGAGGCGCGAAAGCUAGGGGAGCGAA
Molecule: ribosomal RNA, 248 nt
Filed under: uncultured Enterorhabdus sp.
Lineage: Bacteria; Bacillati; Actinomycetota; Coriobacteriia; Eggerthellales; Eggerthellaceae
Description: partial 16S ribosomal RNA
Rfam family: Bacterial small subunit ribosomal RNA
Source: RNAcentral